GGCCUGAUGGUCUAGUAGUAUGAUUCCUCGUUCGGGAGAUUCAGGUCUUCAAAGCUUUCUUGAGCUUCAUAUCGAGGAGGUCCCGGGUUCAAUUCCCGGUCAGGCCC
Leucoagaricus sp. SymC.cos is the source of this 107-nucleotide non-coding RNA. Lineage: Eukaryota; Fungi; Basidiomycota; Agaricomycetes; Agaricales; Agaricaceae. The record is from Rfam.